GACAGAGGGUGCAAACGUUGUUCGGAUUUACUGGGCGUAAAGCGCGUGUAGGCGGCUUGGCAAGUCGGAUGUGAAAGCCCACGGCCCAACCGUGGAAGCGCAUCCGAAACGGCCUCGCUCGAGUCUCGGAGAGGAAGGUGGAAUGCUUGGUGUAGAGGUGAAAUUCGUAGAUAUCAAGCAGAACACCUGCGGCGAAGGCGGCCUUCUGGACGAUGACUGACGCUGAGACGCGAAAGCGUGGGGAGCAAACAGG
Molecule: ribosomal RNA, 253 nt
Filed under: uncultured bacterium
Lineage: Bacteria
Description: partial 16S ribosomal RNA
Rfam family: Bacterial small subunit ribosomal RNA
Source: RNAcentral